RNAcentral lists this ribosomal RNA (471 nucleotides) under uncultured bacterium. Its description in RNAcentral is "bacterial SSU rRNA". It matches the Rfam family "Bacterial small subunit ribosomal RNA", at positions 28 to 507 of the family's 1533-position model. The record is from RNAcentral.
GAUGAACGCUGGCGGCGUGCUUAACACAUGCAAGUCGAACGAAGAUGCCGGAGUGCUUGCACUUUGGCAGACUGAGUGGCGGACGGGUGAGUAACGCGUGGGUAACCUGCCUUAUACAGGGGGACAACAGUUGGAAACGACUGCUAAUACCGCAUAAGCCCACGGGUCGGCAUCGACCAGAGGGAAAAGGAGCAAUCCGCUUUGAGAUGGCCUCGCGUCCGAUUAGCUAGUUGGUGAGGUAAUGGCCCACCAAGGCGACGAUCAGUAGCCGGCCUGAGAGGGUGAACGGCCACAUUGGGACUGAGACACGGCCCAAACUCCUACGGGAGGCAGCAGUGGGGAAUAUUGCACAAUGGGGGAAACCCUGAUGCAGCGACGCCGCGUGAGUGAUGAAGUAUUUCGGUAUGUAAAACUCUAUCAGCAGGGAAGAUAAUGACGGUACCUGACUAAGAAGCACCGGCUAAAUACGUG